UACGUAGGGUGCAAGCGUUGUCCGGAAUUAUUGGGCGUAAAGAGCUCGUAGGCGGUUUGUCGCGUCUGCUGUGAAAACUCGGGGCUUAAUUCCGGGCCUGCAGUGGGUACGGGCAGACUAGAGUGCGGUAGGGGAGACUGGAAUUCCUGGUGUAGCGGUGAAAUGCGCAGAUAUCAGGAGGAACACCGGUGGCGAAGGCGGGUCUCUGGGCCGUAACUGACGCUGAGGAGCGAAAGCGUGGGGAGCGAACAGG
Molecule: ribosomal RNA, 253 nt
Filed under: uncultured bacterium
Lineage: Bacteria
Description: partial 16S ribosomal RNA
Rfam family: Bacterial small subunit ribosomal RNA
Source: RNAcentral